Molecule: ribosomal RNA, 230 nt
Filed under: uncultured bacterium
Lineage: Bacteria
Description: partial 16S ribosomal RNA
Rfam family: Bacterial small subunit ribosomal RNA
Source: RNAcentral
GAUCAUGGCUCAGGAUGAACGCUAGCUACAGGCUUAACACAUGCAAGUCGAGGGGCAGCAUGGUCUUAGCUUGCUAAGGCCGAUGGCGACCGGCGCACGGGUGAGUAACGCGUAUCCAACCUGCCUUACACUCUUGGACAGCCUUCUGAAAGGGAGAUUGAUACAAGAUGUUAUCAUGGGUAAGCAUUUUCGCAUGAUUAAAGGUUUACCGGUGUAAGAUGGGGAUGUCG